GGCUGGUUAGAUGGUCGUGGGUUAUCAGAUCUUAUUAACAUCAGUGUCACUAAAGUUGGUAUACAGUCCCCUCCCCACUGCUACAUUUGACUGGCAUACA
Molecule: Y RNA, 100 nt
Filed under: Propithecus coquereli (Coquerel's sifaka)
Lineage: Eukaryota; Metazoa; Chordata; Mammalia; Primates; Indriidae
Description: Y RNA (ENSPCOG00000001968.1)
Rfam family: Y RNA
About the family: Y RNAs are components of the Ro ribonucleoprotein particle (Ro RNP), in association with Ro60 and La proteins. The Y RNAs and Ro60 and La proteins are well conserved, but the function of the Ro RNP is not known.
Source: RNAcentral